This 1155-nucleotide long non-coding RNA is filed under the name Pomacea canaliculata. Its description in RNAcentral is "uncharacterized LOC112576455, transcript variant X2". The record is from RNAcentral. Lineage: Eukaryota; Metazoa; Mollusca; Gastropoda; Architaenioglossa; Ampullariidae.
GUGAUUGUGCCAACAUCUCUUGUAGACUUCUGAAUCUGAGGCUGGACAGAUAAGUUGUUUGUGUCAUUGGAAGGAGCAACUUCUGAUCUCUGGGAAGAAGAUAACCCAGCAGCAACAGGCCCCUGACUGCUGUCUUUGCAACUGUCUGAUGUCAUAGCAAUAGAAGAGGACACAAAGGAUCCACCAGAGGAAAUUACCUGUUCCUACAAGUGUACAGAAUCCUUAAUAAAGUACAAUCAACACCUGACCAGUGAAGCAUUUUGACCAGACAAAGCAUCUGUUAGUGAAUGGGAUUCAGUUUUCGACGGCUGGCUACAGUGAAAAGAAAUAUGGCUUCGACAACAGUGUGCACACACUUUAAUCUGAACAUGUUUGUCAAGGCUGCUAACUCCACACAAUCAGGAGAAACAGUGUUUGUUCAAAACAUGGCAAAAGAAACAAAAACUGGUCACCGUCCAAAGUAGAAGUUACAGCCACAGUUGUGCUCUCCUGUUCUGGUGAAUGCUUAAGGUAAGAUGUGUAUGUCUACACUAAGUUUUCUGAACCCAUGUACUUGUGUAUUUGAGCAGUGUGUAUAUGUUUACACUGUUUUCUGAACCUAAGUUCUUGUGUUAUUGUAAACAUUUCAGCAAUGUGUGUAUGUCUUUGCUAAGUUUUCUGAACCCAUGUACUUGUGUAUUUGAGCAAUGUGUGUUUCCUGCCAGUGUCAUUAAAGUAUACAUAUACAAACAAGACUAGGGUCUUUGCUUGACCCAAAACAUCCCAUAGCCCACAACUUACUUCUAGUAAGAAGUAUGAGAGACAUUAUUACAGUAAUAUUUUCUACUGCUCUUUACAUUUCACCGCUCAAGGGCUGAUGUCUACUUGCACAUAUACACAUAUACACAGGCUCUGUACAUGCGAAGAUGACAGUGUAUAGAAGCAGAUUAAUAUCACAUACAUCACCAAGAUCAAUAUCAGAUUAAAACUGCAUCAUUAUUAUAUGCCUGUUAUUAAUGCAUCCAAUGUGCUGCAUUCAGGUAUCAGGUCUACCUCCAAAAAUAUCUGGAAUGUGCACACUUAUCAAUAUGCAUCCCUUCUUUGGUGAAUUCAUAAGUUUGUAUAGAGGACACAGCUUAUUUGGAUUAACACAAAGGUAACUGAGAAAUACAAAAA